This 397-nucleotide ribosomal RNA is filed under the name Scinax nebulosus (Spix's snouted treefrog). RNAcentral describes it as "partial 16S ribosomal RNA". It matches the Rfam family "Bacterial large subunit ribosomal RNA", at positions 1846 to 2422 of the family's 2925-position model. The record is from RNAcentral. Lineage: Eukaryota; Metazoa; Chordata; Amphibia; Anura; Hylidae.
UAAGAGGUCCCGCCUGCCCAGUGACUCAUGUUCAACGGCCGCGGUAUCCUAACCGUGCGAAGGUAGCGUAAUCACUUGUUCUUUAAAUGGGGACUAGUAUGAAUGGCACCACGAGGGUUAUACUGUCUCCCUUUUUUAAUCAGUGAAACUAACCCCCCCGUGAAGAAGCGGGGAUAAAAAUAUAAGACGAGAAGACCCUAUGGAGCUUUAAAUUUCAAUUCAAAUGCCAUCUAACCCUAAAAGUUUCAACUUUUUCCUCCAAGCUCAGCAUAAUGAAAUAGAAUUUUAGGUUGGGGUGACCGCGGAGCACAAAACAACCUCCACAUUGAACUAGGCCUAUCACCUUGAGCAAUGAACUACGAUCCUAUGCACAAAAAAAUUUACAUUCAUUGACCCA